CAAGCAAGCUGGAAACAACUGGGUUGGGGGAGGAAAGGCUUAGCAACAGCCUAACCGGUUCACAUUUUCAUGAUGGGCCCCAUCCCAUCGCCCUGCCAUGAGCCUUCAGCUGGAAACACAAUCCCAUUCCUUCCUAUUGUCCAGGCUUUUCCUUCCUGCCACAUGCCUGGAAUUGCGCCAGCGAUCGUUUCACACCUGCUGUUUGUGACUAUCCCGGGGUGACCUUUCCAACGAUGGCUACCGCAGGGGCUUUCUCGGCGGAUCGACACGAGUUGCUGAAUGAUGCCACCAUGCAAGGCUCAGCGGCUGAAGAGACGGGGCCGGAGAAGGAGGCCUCGUUCUGGAAGGAGACCAUCCAGUGAGAAACUGUCUGUUUGGGAUAAGAAACAGAAAAAGCAGGAGAGUGCCUAAUACUGCUGAGUCCUGGUCCUUGAUUGAGACAACACAUCAUCAUCAUCUUCAUUCAAACAUACUUAGAUGGCAUCUGAGGAUUCAUGGAAAUACAAGGGCCAAGAGUCUAAUGCAUUUUACUGGGAAUGAUUCUUUAUCUCUGGGCUGA
This is a long non-coding RNA of Alligator sinensis (Chinese alligator), 559 nucleotides long. RefSeq lists it as uncharacterized. The record is from RefSeq and is a predicted model, not a curated record. Lineage: Eukaryota; Metazoa; Chordata; Crocodylia; Alligatoridae. The transcript is spliced from 3 exons.